This is a long non-coding RNA of Homo sapiens (human), 6206 nucleotides long. RefSeq lists it as uncharacterized. NCBI's taxonomy places the organism in Eukaryota, Metazoa, Chordata, Mammalia, Primates, Hominidae. The record is from RefSeq and is a predicted model, not a curated record. The transcript has 2 exons.
GCAGGUACUUCAGCCGGUACUUCUCAUUCUGGCUCUUCUUCGGGAGCUUUUUCAUCCUGGCCUUGCUGGACUGCAGCGGAGCCCGCGGCGAGGAAGCGAGGCCGUCCAGCAGGCUCAUGGUCCAGCCCCGCUACGGGGGCCCCAGGACGCUGCCGGCAUCGGAUCCUAAGUCGGGGAGCGGGCGGGAGCGCUGGCUUUGUCUGUUCCGGGCUAGCGGAAUCGGGCCUCUAGGAAUCUAGCUCUCCGGGACGUUCCCAGGGCUGACCGCAGGGCCAGAGACACCCGCAACCGAACGGGCUCCCGGCGCCUCCCAGCACUUCCGUGUCUGUCUUGGAAGUAAGCCCUUCCCGGAAGUUACGUCCCGGUGUCGGCAGUGUGUAACUUCCGGGGCAGGGAGAGUAGGGUGGUCUGGGCGGUGCGAUCGUGGGCACCGGGAGGAAAGAGACAGCUGGGGGCUAGUGCUGGAUGAGGAGAGGAGGGAGGGCCGGCGGCCGUGUGCUUAGCUGAAGGGUACUAUAGUUGAACCAACGAACUAACAAGAAGCUUACCAAUGCGAGCUCUCAUUCACGCUCCCCCGCUGGGCCACUGCGUUUUAAUACGUUUUUCAUGCUUCGUGCAGACAGGCUUUCCCAGACUGUAGGACAAAGUGAGCCCAAGUGCUGGGACUCUGCUUCUUUCCCUGCUUCGUUCCUUUCUGCAGCUCACAGAAAUGUGUUUGCAGGGCCUCCUAAUGCUAUCAUCUUCCCAGGAGCUGGGAACACAGUAGUGAACAGGAAGAAAGGCCUUGGCUCUUUCUAGUAGGGAAGAUGAGAGAUUUAACACGCAGUUUUAAUACUAGCACUAAGUAGGCACUCAGUAAAUGUUUGUCUAGUGAAACCAGAAGUGUAUUUCUGUACAUAAUAUGUACAUGUAUAUGGUUCUAACUUUACAACCAAGGUCUAUUUAAAAUUAGGGAAGAUAGAAAAAUCUUUAGGGUGCGGUAUUGGUAAGUGACCCAGGCUGGAUGGCAGAAGGCUUGCUUGCAUCUUCUUCCAGCGAUGCCAAUAACUAGUUCAGUAACUCUCUAGUUUUUUCUCUCAAAAAAAAAAUUUGCUGUUCUGCUGUAUUUUGUCCUUGCGGGCUUUGGGGUCUGACUUUAUUUGUAUUAUUUAUUUUCAUAUACAUGUAUCACAUCUAGGGGGAAGAAAAGUGCUAUCCUUUGUCCUAGUUUGCAGGCUGUUUUGGCCAAUGGACUUUAGUGGGAUUUGCAUGAAGAUAUUUUUUGUUUCUUCUUCAUUGGACACAUUUCCUUACACUUACAAAACAUUUCAUUCGAACUUUAGAAAUUUAGAAAAUAUAGUACAAGAAAGGUUUAAAAAUCCAUAAUGCUACCACUUGGAAUGAACUACUUUUACCAUGUUAGUAUAUGUGUCUAAUAUUUUAUGCAUUUUUGUAUAGGUUAGACAAUACUGAAAAUAAAGUUUUCUUUUUGUUCAUUUACCAUUGUAUCAUUUCAGUUUCACAAAUGUUAGUAUAGCUUCCUUAUAAGCAUAAUUUUAAGUGGCUGGUUAAUAUUCCAGUUAUGGCUAUAUUAUAUUUUGCAUAAUUAUUUCCAUGUUCUUUGACUUUUUGGUCAAUUCCAUUAAAAGCAUAUCUUUGCGUCCAAAGCUUUUUCCAUAUAGGACUGUUCAGAGGCUGGAUAUGUGUGCUCCACAAAGGUCAUGCCACUGAGCAACUCAUUCAGUCCUUAUUUGUUUAGAAGAAUAUUUACCUAGUGCCUAUUAUGAUACCACCUUUAAGAACCUUAAUUUAAGAAGGAAAGACAGACAAGUAAAUUGGCAAUGUUAAUAUGGUAUAAUAAGUUUGUUUCAGAGGUAGGUUUUAUUUUAUUUGGCAGCACUCAGGGAAGGAGGGAGGAGAUAGGAAAGGUUUCUUAAAGGAGAUACAUCUGGGCAGACUCUGAAGGAGAGGUAGUGGUUGGUUGGCCCAGUGAAGAACAAAGGGGGGCAUGCUGGAUGGUGGAGACAGCAUAUGCAAAGGCUCAGUAUGGGAACUGCAAGUAGUUGAUCAGUGUGAAAGAUGUGUGUAGAGAGAAGCAAGAAGAGAGACUGAAGCAGUAAGUAGGGUUUUUUGGGUCAUGAAAAGUCUUGUGUACCAACUGAAGAGUUGGACUUUGACCCAGUGACAAUAGGAAACCAUCUAUCAGCUCUUUGCUUGUGUUAGGUAAACUUACCUGAAUCUGUCAGAAGCAACACAACUUUUCUACUUAACUAUACGAAGAAGGGUCUAAAUGGCCUAUGCAAAAAUUCUUUAAAGAAAUGCAUAAUGUGUAGCUCUAAAAAGAAAUAUAAAAUGGCAGACAGCAUGAUAUUGUGUCUGAGUGUGGUCUUUGAAGUCAGACCAAAGUUCCAUUAACUACAGGCAUAGGAAUGGGAGUUAGAAGCUAAAAUAGGGUAAUAAAUCAGAAGAGAAAGAAGUUCAAUAGCACUUUACUGUCUACCCAUUUGUAAGUGCUUGCUAUUCAGUGAUUAGCUGUAAGGGAAGGCAUAGUAUCCUCUGGAGUAUUAAAAGCAUACCUGGCUCCGUUAACAGUUGUGAAGAAGUCCAUAGCCCAUAAUCCCAGCCCCUGGUGAAAUGAGUUCCUGGUUUAGAUGGUGAAAAGUGUAUCUGGGCACCUGAAGGCUCCACUCACGGCUGAGACAUGGCCCCAGCCUUGUUCUACUAUGUCCUUACAUCCUAAGAGCAGAUUACAAAUUGAAGCCAUCAUCUCCCAGCACUUUGGAGGCUACAGAGGACUUGGACAAGGUUGAUAACUUCUACAAAGCAAGCUGGGUAAAUUCCUAGGAUUUCAGGCCACACCAAAGGGUUUCCAGGGGUUUACAUCUUUAUUAAUCUUUUGCCAGAUUGCCUCACUUGCUCUCUGGGGUAAGCUGAAUGUGCGUUCAAGAAAGGAUAUGGAAUUGCCUCCAUAAACGGACUUUAGAAUCUUCUUUCCUUGCAGCAUGUCUAGACUGUAUUUCUUUUUAUUUAUACUAUCCUCAUAGAAUGUUCUAGACUUAAUUUUUUAGCUCUUUGACUCUUCGGCUCCAGCUUUCACAUUUAUUUCCAUGUCUUGGUUAUGUCUUCUCACUUUUAGGAUAACAUGAUAAAAGAUAUAUGAUUCAGUUAAAUCCAAGCUUAGCAGUUUUAAAAUGUGUAAUUUUUUGGUGUGUAUGUGUAUUAGUGUGCAUGUCUUAUGAGGAAGGAGAGAGACUUUCCACAAGCUUUCUUGCUCCAUGGUUUCUUAACUAUGGGUGUUCAUCACAUGCCGAGUUGGUGAGGUGUUUGGGUUUUGAGGGUUCUAAGCCAGCCAAUAAAGUCAUAAAAUCAACUACUGUGUCAAUAUUGUGCUUCUGGGUGGUUGUAUCCUUCAACACACAUAAGACACUCAGCCAGCUAAAAGAGAUGAGCUCAGAGAUGUUAGCUCGGAGGAAAAGAAGGAUCACAUUGAGGUCAUUGAUGGGACAUCCUAGCAUCUUUCUGCUGAGGAGAUCAAAAGCUGGGAGCAUCUCAUAGACAGAUAAAAGUCGUUUGUCCCACCGACAUAGCCGUGUGAGGUUGUAUAUUAUCACUGGAACCAAUAUGGUGUAUAUUGCUACACUGGAGAGGCUAACAAUCUGGAAAAUGGACAGUGAUGUCAGCCUGCAUGUGAUCAGAUUGGGGACAUGGGUCUCAUCACUUAGCAGCCCUGUCUUGAUGGAGCAGCUGAAUUCUUCCUGGAAGAAGACAUCCAGAUGGAAAUGACCAAGGUAUAGGUAAGUGGCGGAGGUGAAGAUGAGCAAGAGGGAGUUCCUCAGGAGGUAGGUAGCCACUAGCGAAUGUGAACGCUGCUUACAUGCCAGGUACCGCUCUAGCAAAGGGAAUUCAAAGUAUCGUUCUUUCCGAGCCCUGGGCAGUGGAAGGAAGGAGGCAAGGUUAGUAGUGACCAUUUAGAACCAUACUCUAAGAGAGGCAUGUGACAAAGUAACAGAUCUGUUUUCAACAUGGCAUUCUUGGUUCCCAUGAAAAUCUGUCUUCCCGAGCAUAACCAUGCUUCUCCCCCAAACUGAGGCAUAUGAGUAUAUCUUGAUUCUCCAAGUACUUACUGCAAUGUGAUAAACCCAGUGAAUGAUCAGUGAGUAAUGAUUUAUUACACUGGAUUUCUGCCAAGCAAGGCGGACUAAAGUUCUAAGCUGAAGUAGGAUCUUUAGGUAGCAAUAGGCUUAUGAAAUUAGCACUGGAUUGGGGGUUUAGCUAAGUGCAUUCUGGGCCGGGCAUGGUGGCUUAUGCUCAUAAUCCCAGCGGCCGAGGUGGAAGGGUCCCAUAAGCCCAGGGGUUUGAGACUACCAUGGGAAACACAGUAAGACCUCAUCUCUAUGAAAAAAUACAAAAAUUAGCUGGGUGUAGUAGUGUACACCUAUGGUUCCAGCUACUUGGGAGGCUGAGGAGGGAGGAUUGCUUGUGCCCAGGAGACUGAGGCUGCAAUGAGCCAAGAUCGUGCCACUGCACUCCAGCCUGGGCAACAGAGUGAGACCCUGUCUCCCCCACCCCCCCACUCCAAAAAAAGUACAUUCUGGUUCUUGGCCUGUGUACUCUGUGUAUGAUCUUUGGGACAAUUCAUUCAUCUUAUGUAAAUAAUUUGGCUCACAAAUGUUUGUCGAGAGCUUUGGUGUUCAGGUACAUGUAAGCCAGUUUGUGCUCUGAAGAAGCUUAGAGACUGGCUUGUGGGGAAGGGGCAGAUAAGACAUGCAAAUACGGAAUAAAAAUGACACUUGGUUUGUUGCUAAAAUAGUGGACACAAACCACAGUGGCUGUAAAAGUUAGGAGAGGGAGGUAACAGUGUGGCCUUCAAUGUUCAGAAACCCUUAUGGAAAAUAUUGGCUGAAAUCUGGGCUUCAAAAGAUAGAGAGGAUUUUUUUUCAGAAGAUAGAGUAUGUGCAUAAAUAUGGGACAAUAUAAUUCAAAUGUUAGCGCAAUUGUCUCCUUGGGCCAUCUAGCCUGGCCACUCUGUGUGAAGCUACACCACUCUCCAUCCCUCCAGCUUCCUCUUGCCCCACUUCCCACUUUACUUUUUCUUUUCUUCAUACCACUUAUUAUCUCAGAACGUAGAUUUCAUUUCUGUGUUCUGUUUAUUUGUCUGUGUUUCCUUAAUAGAAUGUAAGCCCCACAUGGGUAGGUACAGCUUUGUCUCUCCUACCCCCAUCCCCCAACACAUACAAGUGAAUGUAUCAGAAGCACCCAGGACAAUGCCUGUAUGCAGGUGGAGGAAUGAUUACAUAGAUAAAUAAUUUGUUCAGGGGAAAAGGAGGAGGCUGCCUAAGUGUGGUGGAAGGUUUCUGUCACCUGGUAGUUAGAAUUUUGAAAAAGUAGAUGGUGACAGUGUGUUGAGGGCCUUGCACACAUAUCUGGGAAAGUUUGGGUAUUCUUUGGUAGGCAUGAAGGGAGCUAUUUAAGGUUUCUGAAGGCAGUAGUGUAUGAAAGUGGAAUUCUAGACAGAUGAAUCCCUUUGUGGGCUCAGUGUGGUCAUCUGUACACUAGAGGAAGAGUCCUUUCUCUCUCCCUUUACAGAAACAAUAGAAAGUUAAUGAGAUGAUGUGUUAAGCACUUUGCCUUCUUGAGAAGGAUGGCAUGGAAGAUCAUUUAAAGAUGACUAUGCAAAGUUAUCAUUUUAAUGCUUGACUGAAUUUCUCAGAAAAAGGUGGAAGAGACAACUCACUUCUCCAGCUCAUUCCAGAACACAUAGGGGUCGGAACUCUUCUGCCGGAUCUUCAGCAUGUGCUGCACGAGGCGGAUGGAGCGAUUAUAAGAUUUGUCCAGUUCGCUGAUGAUGAACAGCAGAUCGGAGCUGAGGGCUGGCACAGCUGCAUACUGCCACAGCAGCACCGGCAGCCAGGUAAAGAAGCAGAAAUGCAUACAGGGAGACUGCCCAGGGCACUGGAUCUACAGGCCAAGGAGUGGGAACCUGGCAGACGUUUCCCUUGCAGCCUUCAGAGGAGCCAAUACUGAUGACACCUUGAUCUUAGACUUCCGGUCUCCAGAACCCUGAGACGAUAAUUUUGAUUGUUGAAGCCACCCAGUUGGUGGUGCUUGGUUUCAGCAGCUCUAGCAAAUUAACACAGGCACUUUUCUUCAGGUUUCCUCAUCAUACUUACCACACCUAGCAGGGUUGGGCCAACUAUUUUGCCUACAGUAAAAUCUCUACUUGUAAA